CAGUAGCCGCGGGAACACAGAGGGUGCAAGCGUUAAUCGGAAUUACUGGGCGUAAAGCGCGCGUAGGUGGUUCGCCAAGUUGGAUGUGAAAUCCCCGGGCUCAACCUGGGAACUGCAUCCAAAACUGGCGAGCUAGAGUAUGGUAGAGGGUGGUGGAAUUUCCUGUGUAGCGGUGAAAUGCGUAGAUAUAGGAAGGAACAUCAGUGGCGAAGGCGACCACCUGGACUGAUACUGACACUGAGGUGCGAAAGCGUGGGGAGCAAACAGGAUUAGAUACCCCCGUAGUCCCUGUCUCUUACAC
This 301-nucleotide ribosomal RNA is filed under the name uncultured bacterium. Its description in RNAcentral is "partial 16S ribosomal RNA". It matches the Rfam family "Bacterial small subunit ribosomal RNA", at positions 509 to 809 of the family's 1533-position model. The record is from RNAcentral.